ACGGGGUGCAGCAGGCGCGAAAACUCCGCAAUGCGCGCAAGCGUGACGGGGGAACUCCAAGUGCCUCUCAAAAGAGAGGCUUUUGUGAUAUGUAAAAAGUAUCUCGAAUAAGGACUGGUCAAGACUAGUGCCAGCCUCCGCGGUAAAACUAGCAGUUCGAGUGGUAGCCACGAUUAUUGGGCUUAAAGCGUUCGUAGCCGGCUUGAUAAGUUCUCUGUGAAAUCCUUGGGCUUAACUUAAGGGCUUGCAGAGAAUACUAUCUCGCUUGGAGUUGGGAGAAGUCAAGGGAACUACUAGGGUAGCGGUGAAAUGCUAUAAUCCUAGUAGGACCGCCAAUGGCGAAGGCACUUGACUAGAACAAGCUCGACGGUGAGGAACGAGAGCUAGGGGAGCGAACCGGAUUAGAUACCCGGGUAGUCCUAGCUGUAAACGAUGUGGACUGAGUGUUUCCCGAACUUAGGGUUCGGGAAGUGCUGAAGGAAACCGUUAAGUCCACCGCCUGGGAGUACGUCGCAAGGC
RNAcentral lists this ribosomal RNA (519 nucleotides) under uncultured archaeon. RNAcentral describes it as "bacterial SSU rRNA". It matches the Rfam family "Archaeal small subunit ribosomal RNA", at positions 325 to 849 of the family's 1478-position model. The record is from RNAcentral.